ACAUCAGUAUGGACAUUUGGGCUCAUUCCAUAAUUUGGCCACUAUUGAUAAUGCUACUGUAAAUAUAAGGGUGGAUGUA
Molecule: long non-coding RNA, 79 nt
Organism: Mustela erminea (ermine)
Lineage: Eukaryota; Metazoa; Chordata; Mammalia; Carnivora; Mustelidae
Exons: 3
Source: RefSeq, a predicted model, not a curated record